Molecule: long non-coding RNA, 732 nt
Organism: Aegilops tauschii subsp. strangulata
Lineage: Eukaryota; Viridiplantae; Streptophyta; Magnoliopsida; Poales; Poaceae
Source: RefSeq, a predicted model, not a curated record
GUUUGCGGGCGGGCUCUCUGGUCCGUGGACCAGAACGUCGGCAUUUCAACUGAGCCACGGAUCAGAUAAGGCGUUCAUUCUGGAAACCCUCGCCGCCCCUCUCUUCCUCCCCAAACAUCACUAUCCCCUUCAUCUAGUGGCGCUCGUUCUGCACCGGCGGCAACGGGAAAAAUGGAUCAUGCUGUUUGAGUUCCUGCUCGAUGCAAUCGACAGGUUCCCACUGCGUGAGGAGUUCACCGGCAGUUUUGAGCACUCAGAUCCAGUACCUCUAGUCUUGUUGCGGAACAGCGAAGCCGACCAUGCCGUUCCUGCGGACUCCAAUCCUGGGUCUGGUUGCGGUCAACAGUCGGCGGCGACGGCCAGAUGAGAUGGUUUUCGCCGGCAUCCGGAUGCAUCUCCGACUAGGUCGGCGCAAUCGACUGCCAGAGUCAACCGAGAAGCCCCUGGUUGGACAAAAAGCGCUUGGACUUUGGAUGGAACUGAUUGACCUUUUAGACGGGUCAUAUGGCGUAGAGUCUUGUAUGAGCUUCAGAGUUCGUAAUAUUUUGUCCAUUGCGUAUUUAAGGAGAAACUGAUGCAGUAAGACGUCUUGUCAGUUUAAUGGCCAGUGUUUAUGAUACCCUUUGCCGGAGUCCUUGUGUGAUCUAGUGGGUUUGGCUUCGGACUUGCCAUGGCAAGGGAAUGUCGAAACUGUUUGGUUUGAUUCAUAAUCAUGAAGCAUUUCUGGUGUCC